UCCGCCUCAGCCAUUGGUCAGCAUUGCAGUAGGCACCUCCCCCUCCUCUGUAUAAAAGGAGCCAGAAUUCAGCCUGAGGGAAGAUGAUUCUCUGAGAGACUAGUCUGCCGACUGCUCUGUCUGCUAGCUUUGCAGUUACAGUCGUUAUUCCUUGCCCCAGCAACCCGCCUCCUGAGUUACUGGCCUUUCCUGUGGGGAGCAGAGCGAGUUUCGGCUGGGUUAUCACUUACGGUGACAGUUUCUAAAGUCAGAGAUGACAUGAGCCUGACCCCCAGGAGAAAGAUCUUGAAGUAAGACAUGUUUAUGUUGGAAUACCUGUAAAUAUAGAAGAUAUAGAAGAUACAGGAAAUAUUUGUUAAAUGGAACAAGCAAUAGCUCAUGGAGUGUUUUCUGUCGGCUCCGCAUGGCUCCAAAUCACAGCCCGUGGCCAGGAGAGCUGCCAGCUCCCUCAACAAAGUUGGGAACUUUGUGGACCCCACGAGACGCCUUAUUUAUUACAUCUCCCAGAGAAAGCAGACUGGGGCAAUAAUCGUCAAAGUAAUAUUUACCCCUUAAUAACUGCCUAUUUUUAUACCAGUGUUAGAGGUUAAUAGCAGUGUUAUUUACUCCUCUGCCAAAAAGAACUGAAGGAUGUGAAAUGUGGCAGUCAAUAAAGCUGAACAGUCAGAUAAAUAACAUUCAUAUUAUU
Molecule: long non-coding RNA, 688 nt
Organism: Odocoileus virginianus texanus
Lineage: Eukaryota; Metazoa; Chordata; Mammalia; Artiodactyla; Cervidae
Source: RefSeq, a predicted model, not a curated record